RNAcentral lists this ribosomal RNA (253 nucleotides) under uncultured bacterium. RNAcentral describes it as "partial 16S ribosomal RNA". It matches the Rfam family "Bacterial small subunit ribosomal RNA", at positions 524 to 776 of the family's 1533-position model. The record is from RNAcentral.
UACGGGGGGGGCAAGCGUUGUUCGGAAUUACUGGGCGUAAAGGGCGCGUAGGCGGUUCGAUAAGUCAGCUGUGAAAACCACGGGCUUAACUCGUGGCCUGCAGUUGAGACUGUCUGGCUUGAGUGUGGGAGAGGAGAGUGGAAUUCCUGGUGUAGCGGUGAAAUGCGUAGAUAUCAGGAGGAACACCGGUGGCGAAGGCGGCUCUCUGGACCACAACUGACGCUGAGGCGCGAAAGCUAGGGGAGCAAACAGG